Molecule: transfer RNA, 70 nt
Filed under: Dipodomys ordii (Ord's kangaroo rat)
Lineage: Eukaryota; Metazoa; Chordata; Mammalia; Rodentia; Heteromyidae
Rfam family: tRNA
About the family: Transfer RNA (tRNA) molecules are approximately 80 nucleotides in length. Their secondary structure includes four short double-helical elements and three loops (D, anti-codon, and T loops).
Source: Rfam by way of RNAcentral
GGGACUGUGGCUUAGUGGUAGAAUGUUUGCCUAGCAUGCAUGAAGCCCUGGGUUCAAUUCCCCAGUACCA